This 732-nucleotide ribosomal RNA is filed under the name uncultured fungus. RNAcentral describes it as "eukaryotic LSU rRNA". The stretch from base 366 to 732 matches the Rfam family "Eukaryotic large subunit ribosomal RNA", at positions 1 to 362 of the family's 3401-position model. The record is from RNAcentral. Lineage: Eukaryota; Fungi.
CUCCGGCCCAAACUUGAAUGUAAAGAAUGUAUAAUCAAUUUAAACAAAACAUAACUUUCAACAACGGAUCUCUUGGCUCUCGCAUCGAUGAAGAACGCAGAGAAUUGCGAUAAGUAAUGUGAAUUUCAGAACCGUGAAUCAUCGAAUCUUUGAACGCACCUUGCGCCCUCUGGUAUUCCGGAGGGCAUGCCUGUUUGAGUGUCAUGAAUACCUCACCCCUUCGGGUUUCCGAUUGGGUGGAUUUGGGUGUUGCCUUUCGAGGCUCGCCUUAAAAGCAUUAGUAACUUGAAGACGUGAUACGUUUCGUCGAAUGAGUUGCUCAUAACCUCCUGCAAAGGAUAUUGCCUAGCAAUACUCCAUGUCUACGACCUCAAAUCAGGUAGGGCUACCCGCUGAACUUAAGCAUAUCAAUAAGCGGAGGAAAAGAAACUAACAAGGAUUCCCCUAGUAACGGCGAGUGAACCGGGAAGAGCUCAAAUUUGUAAUCUGACGUCCUCCGGGCGUCCGAGUUGUAAUCUAUAGAGGCAUUUUCCGCGCCGGACCGCGUCCAAGUCCCUUGGAACAGGGUAUCAAAGAGGGUGACAAUCCCGUGCUUGAUGCGACUACCGGUGCUAUGUGAUAUGUUCUCAACGAGUCGAGUUGUUUGGGAAUGCAGCACUAAACGGGUGGUAAAUUCCAUCUAAGGCUAAAUAUUGGCGAGAGACCGAUAGCGAACAAGUACCGUGAGGGAAA